CGGCCCUUAAAUAUUUGCUUGCUCAGGAGCUUCGCCUUGGGCAUCUUGAACUCUCACUUAGUCCGUGGAACACCCCUGUGUUCAUCGUUAAGAAACGGUCAGGGGCCUAUCGCCUGCUACACGACCUACGUGCAGUUAAUGCUCAAUUGGUCCCCUUUGGAGCCGUGCAGCAAGGUGGCCCUCUUUUAUCAGCCGUUCCCGGAGGAUGGUCGUUAGUAGUAAUUGAUCUUAAGGAUUGCUUCUUUUUUAUUCCUCUGGCAGAGGAAGACCGGGAAGCAUUUGCUUUCAC
This is a regulatory RNA element of Meleagris gallopavo (turkey), 289 nucleotides long. It matches the Rfam family "Retroviral 3'UTR stability element". The record is from Rfam. NCBI's taxonomy places the organism in Eukaryota, Metazoa, Chordata, Aves, Galliformes, Phasianidae.